AUUUAUAUAUUAUAAAAAGUAUAAUUAACUUCCAAUUAAUAAGUCUGAAUAUUUCAAUUCAGUAUAAAUA
RNAcentral lists this transfer RNA (70 nucleotides) under Trachelus iudaicus. RNAcentral's name for it is "tRNA-Gly". Lineage: Eukaryota; Metazoa; Arthropoda; Insecta; Hymenoptera; Cephidae. The record is from RNAcentral.